Molecule: transfer-messenger RNA, 361 nt
Filed under: bacterium
Lineage: Bacteria
Rfam family: transfer-messenger RNA
About the family: Bacterial tmRNA, also known as 10Sa RNA or SsrA, is named for its dual tRNA and mRNA-like properties. Its role is to liberate the mRNA from a stalled ribosome.
Source: RNAcentral
GGGGAUGUAUAUAUUCGACGGGAAGCGGUUGCUUUUAGUGCAAGCCGAUGUUGAUCACCAUCAUCGUAAAAAUAGUGAUCGAACCAAUAAAUGCCAACAAAAACUUGGCUCCUUCUUACGCAGUAGCGUAAGUAAGGCAUCCUGCAAACCUUUUUCUUAGCGAAGGCUGCGGGGUGUAACAACAGCUAAGAGGACUGAUCCAAAACCGGUCACUUUGGAGAAGGUCCUUAAACAAACGACCUUUCUUUAAGCUGAUCUUGCUAACCAGCAGGCUUAAGGGAGAAACAUGGUUAGAUAAGCUUGUAGUAUCUUGAAGUAAUUUCUUUUUCGGACCCGGGUGAAACCCCCGGCAUCUCCACCA